RNAcentral lists this ribosomal RNA (492 nucleotides) under uncultured bacterium. RNAcentral describes it as "partial 16S ribosomal RNA". It matches the Rfam family "Bacterial small subunit ribosomal RNA", at positions 28 to 507 of the family's 1533-position model. The record is from RNAcentral.
GGUGAACGCUGGCGGUAGGCCUAACACAUGCAAGUCGAACGGAAGCACAGUAAGAGCUUGCUCUUACGGGUGGCGAGUGGCGGACGGGUGAGGAAUACAUCGGAAUCUAUUUUUUCGUGGGGGAUAACGUCGGGAAACUUACGCUAAUACCGCAUACGACCUACGGGUGCAAGCAGGGGAUCUUCGGACCUUGCGCGAUUGAUUGAGCCGAUGUCGGAUUAGCUCGUUGGCGGGGUAAAGGCCCAACACGGCGAGGAUCCGUAGCUGGUCUGAGAGGAUGGUCAGCCACACUGGAACUGUGACACGCUCCAGACUGCUACGGGAGGCACCAGUGGGGAAUAGGGGACAAUGGGCGCAAGCCUGAUCCAGCCAGACCGCGUGGGUGAAGAAGGCCUUCGGGUUGUAAAGCCCUUUUGUUGGGAAAGAAAAGCAGCAGGUUAAUACCCCGCUGUUCUGACGGUACCCAAAGAAUAAGCACCGGCUAACUUCGUG